UUGUAGAUGUUAAAAGCAAGAGACAUGGGAGAGCAUCAUUCCUUUGAGAUUUUAUAACUCAAACCAACUUUGGAGUUGUCUGAUUUGGAGAGUCAUUAUUCUUGGUCUUCGCUCUUAGAGGCCACUGAUGAAGAACAGGCGGUGACUGGGAUGAAUGCUGGUCAGAGAGGAGAAUCUUCUUUCCCCUAAACUGAUGCAGCGGUGGUUUUAAAGGAGGACGCUGCCCUGGAUGAUGUAGAAGAUGUCACAUGCUGUGCUGAUGCGGUUUCUUCAUGAUUACAUCAGUUAUGCUAAAGAGAUCAUGAAAAUUGACUGUGAUGCAUCAUCUGUAUUCAUGGACUAUGAAACAAACUGUAAGUGUAUAAUUUGUUAAAAAAAAAAAAGUUAAAUGCUUUUUCUGUGUUGUUUAGUAGAAGAGUUUACACUCUGUCAUUCAUACACCUGCUCACAUUCUUUCACACACACACACACACACACACAAACACAUGCAUCUGUUAAAUGUUAUAAUAUCAAAGUUAAUGUUGUGAUUUAUUUGUGUAGUGUCAUGCCAGAAUAGUUGGAAAAAAACCUAACUAAUUGUAAAUUUAUUGUAUGUGUUUUCGUAUAUUUUAUACAAUAUAUACAAUUGAACAAAGUCCAAUUUGAUCUUAAGUUAUAUUCAUCAAAUGUUCAAUGCUUUGUUUAUGAACUCUGUAGCUGUUAAUGCCAUCCUUUUCUGCAUUUCUUCUAACAUGUUACUUUUUGACUUUUCUCUUGUUUUUAAUAAAUAUUUUCCUUUUGGUAA
Long non-coding RNA from Carassius gibelio (silver crucian carp), 784 nucleotides. RefSeq lists it as uncharacterized. The record is from RefSeq and is a predicted model, not a curated record. The transcript is spliced from 3 exons. NCBI's taxonomy places the organism in Eukaryota, Metazoa, Chordata, Actinopteri, Cypriniformes, Cyprinidae.